ACUUUUCCACGUAUCUUCUUCUUUGUAUAUAUUCAAUCACUUCCUCUCAACAAAUCAGAAAGUAAAUUGGAUUUCAAAGAAAGAGCCAGAGGAGUACUGCAGGGUGAAUAAGAGAGAAGCUCAGUAUAGGAGCAUCAAAUCCAUAGCUGUGACAUCGGAAUCCAGGACAUUCUAAUUCAAGAUGACCAAUCUAUUACUCUGGAUGAUUUCUGUUACCACUAUUGCUACUGCUUCUGGUCUCACUAUUGACGUAGACGGUCCGAUCAAUGGUCCGUGUUCUCUAUGUCCAGAAGGAGCUCCCGGUCCCCGUGGACCACCAGGAGACAUUGGCCUACCGGGAAGAGACGGUCGUGAUGGGAGGGACGCUUCGUGUAAUGGCCAACUAU
Lytechinus variegatus (green sea urchin) is the source of this 386-nucleotide long non-coding RNA. RefSeq lists it as uncharacterized. The record is from RefSeq and is a predicted model, not a curated record. The transcript has 3 exons. Lineage: Eukaryota; Metazoa; Echinodermata; Echinoidea; Temnopleuroida; Toxopneustidae.